GACGAACCGUGCGAACGUUGUUCGGAAUCACUGGGCUUAAAGGGUGCGUAGGCGGCCGCCUUAGUCGGGUGUGAAAGCCCUCGGCUCAACCGAGGAAUUGCAUCCGAUACUGGGCGGCUCGAGGGAGAUAGAGGCGCGCGGAACUUCGGGUGGAGCGGUGAAAUGCGUUGAUAUCCGAAGGAACUCCAGUGGCGAAAGCGGCGCGCUGGGUCUCUCCUGACGCUGAGGCACGAAAGCUAGGGUAGCGAAC
This 250-nucleotide ribosomal RNA is filed under the name uncultured bacterium. RNAcentral's name for it is "partial 16S ribosomal RNA". It matches the Rfam family "Bacterial small subunit ribosomal RNA", at positions 524 to 773 of the family's 1533-position model. The record is from RNAcentral.